AGAGCGAACGCUGGCGGCAGGCCUAAUACAUGCAAGUCGAACGGAUCCUUCGGGAUUAGUGGCGGACGGGUGAGUAACACGUGGGAACGUACCCUUUGGUUCGGAACAACUCAGGGAAACUUGAGCUAAUACCGAAUGUGCCCUUCGGGGAAAAGAUUUAUCGCCAUUGGAGCGGCCCGCGUCUGAUUAGCUAGUUGGUGAGGUAAAGGCCCACCAAGGCUACGAUCAGUAGCUGGUCUGAGAGGAUGAUCAGCCACACUGGGACUGAGACACGGCCCAGACUCCUACGGGAGGCAGCAGUAGGGAAUCUUGCGCAAUGGGCGAAAGCCUGACGCAGCCAUGCCGCGUGAAUGAUGAAGGUCUUAGGAUUGUAAAAUUCUUUCAGCGGGGACGAUAAUGACGGUACCGCAGAAGAAGCCCCGGCUAACUUCGUGCCAGCAGCCGC
RNAcentral lists this ribosomal RNA (445 nucleotides) under uncultured bacterium. Its description in RNAcentral is "SSU rRNA". It matches the Rfam family "Bacterial small subunit ribosomal RNA", at positions 26 to 518 of the family's 1533-position model. The record is from RNAcentral.